UACGAAGGGGGCUAGCGUUGUUCGGAAUCACUGGGCGUAAAGCGCUCGUAGGCGGAUCUUUAAGUUAGAGGUGAAAUCCCAAGGCUCAACCUUGGAACUGCCUUUGAUACUGGGGAUCUCGAGUCCGGGAGAGGUGAGUGGAACUGCGAGUGUAGAGGUGAAAUUCGUAGAUAUUCGCAAGAACACCAGUGGCGAAGGCGGCUCACUGGCCCGGUACUGACGCUGAGGAGCGAAAGCGUGGGGAGCAAACAGG
Molecule: ribosomal RNA, 253 nt
Filed under: uncultured bacterium
Lineage: Bacteria
Description: partial 16S ribosomal RNA
Rfam family: Bacterial small subunit ribosomal RNA
Source: RNAcentral